Molecule: transfer RNA, 67 nt
Filed under: Pollicipes pollicipes
Lineage: Eukaryota; Metazoa; Arthropoda; Thecostraca; Pollicipedomorpha; Pollicipedidae
Description: tRNA-Ile
Source: RNAcentral
AGUAAGAUGCCUGAUAAAAGGAUCACUUUGAUAGAGUGGGUCAUGUAAAUUAUAUUUACUCUUAUUA